This 465-nucleotide ribosomal RNA is filed under the name uncultured bacterium. RNAcentral's name for it is "partial 16S ribosomal RNA". It matches the Rfam family "Bacterial small subunit ribosomal RNA", at positions 28 to 507 of the family's 1533-position model. The record is from RNAcentral.
GACGAACGCUGGCGGCGUGCUUAACACAUGCAAGUCGAACGGAAAGGCCCCUUUGUUGGUACUCUAGUGUCGAACGGGUGAGUAACACUUGAGUAACCUGCCCUUGACUUUGGGAUAACUUCAGGAAACUGGGGCUAAUACCGGAUAGGGAUCCUUUCUUCAUGGGGGGGGUUGGAAAGCGCCGGCGGGUUUUGAUGGACUCGCUGCUUAUCAGCUUGUUGGUUUGGUAAGUGAUUACCAAAGCUUUGACGGGUAGCCAGACUGAGAGGGCGACCUGCCACACUGGGACCGAGAUAAGGCACAGACUCCUACGGGAGGCAGAAGUGGGGAAUAUUGAACAAUCGGCGGAAGCCUGAAGCAGCAACGCCGCGUGCGGGAUGACGGCCUUCGGGUUGUAAACCGCUUUCAGAAGGGGCGAAGCUUGUGGUGACGGUACCUGCAGAAGAAGCACCGGCUAACUACGUG